Molecule: ribosomal RNA, 459 nt
Filed under: uncultured Pelotomaculum sp.
Lineage: Bacteria; Bacillati; Bacillota; Clostridia; Eubacteriales; Desulfotomaculaceae
Description: bacterial SSU rRNA
Rfam family: Bacterial small subunit ribosomal RNA
Source: RNAcentral
GCACAAGCGGUGGAGCAUGUGGUUAAUUCGACGCAACGCGAAGACCUUACCAGGGCUUGACAUCCCCUGACCGCGUAUGAAAGUACGUUUUCACCCUCGGGUGACAGGGAGACAGGUGGUGCAUGGUUGUCGUCAGCUCGUGUCGUGAGAUGUUGGGUUAAGUCCCGCAACGAGCGCAACCCCUACGUUUAGUUGCUAACGCGUGAAGGCGAGCACUCUAGACGAACUGCCGUUGACAAAACGGAGGAAGGUGGGAUGACGUCAAAUCAUCAUGCCCCUUAUGUUCUGGGCUACACACGUGCUACAAUGGCCGGUACAGACGGAGGCGAAGCCGCGAGGCGGAGCAAAUCCGAAAAAGCCGGUCUCAGUUCGGAUUGCAGGCUGCAAUUCGCCUGCAUGAAGUCGGAAUCGCUAGUAAUCGCAGGUCAGCAUACUGCGGUGAAUACGUUCCCGGGCCUU